This 575-nucleotide ribosomal RNA is filed under the name Bacillus sp. CSu2_40. RNAcentral describes it as "bacterial SSU rRNA". It matches the Rfam family "Bacterial small subunit ribosomal RNA", at positions 50 to 608 of the family's 1533-position model. Lineage: Bacteria; Bacillati; Bacillota; Bacilli; Caryophanales; Bacillaceae. The record is from RNAcentral.
UAUACUGCAAGUCGAGCGGACCGACGGGAGCUUGCUCCCUUAGGUCAGCGGCGGACGGGUGAGUAACACGUGGGUAACCUGCCUGUAAGACUGGGAUAACUCCGGGAAACCGGGGCUAAUACCGGAUGCUUGAUUGAACCGCAUGGUUCAAUCAUGAAAGGCGGCUUCGGCUGCCGUUUACAGAUGGACCCGCGGCGCAUUAGCUAGUUGGUGAGGUAACGGCUCACCAAGGCGACGAUGCGUAGCCGACCUGAGAGGGUGAUCGGCCACACUGGGACUGAGACACGGCCCAGACUCCUACGGGAGGCAGCAGUAGGGAAUCUUCCGCAAUGGACGAAAGUCUGACGGAGCAACGCCGCGUGAGUGAUGAAGGUUUUCGGAUCGUAAAGCUCUGUUGUUAGGGAAGAACAAGUACCGUUCGAAUAGGGCGGUACCUUGACGGUACCUAACCAGAAAGCCACGGCUAACUACGUGCCAGCAGCCGCGGUAAUACGUAGGUGGCAAGCGUUGUCCGGAAUUAUUGGGCGUAGAGCGCGCGCAGGCGGUUUCUUAAGUCUGAUGUGAAAGCCCCCGGC